Molecule: unclassified non-coding RNA, 777 nt
Filed under: Hevea brasiliensis (rubber tree)
Lineage: Eukaryota; Viridiplantae; Streptophyta; Magnoliopsida; Malpighiales; Euphorbiaceae
Source: RNAcentral
AUUCAAGUAUUUAAGUUCUAUCAUACAAAAUAAUGGAGUUUUCGAUGAGGAUGUUACUCAUAGGAUCAAUACAGGAUAGAUGAAAUGGAAGAGUGCGACGGGUCUAACAAAGUGAAAGGUAAAUUCUAUAGGACUGUGAUUAGACUAGCUAUGUUGUAUGGGAGUGAACGUUGGACAUCCAAGUUAUAACAUACCCACAAGAUGAAUUGGACAAAUGUGGAUGUUAGAGAUGGAUAUCUGAUAACACGAUAAAGGAUAAAAUAAGGAAUGACUAUAUUUUCCGUAGAGUUCAUAUAGCAUACAUUGGAGAUAAAAUAAGAGGUCGAUUAAUAUAGUUUGGUCAUGUCCGAUGUGGAGUAUCAAAUGUACCAGUGCGGAGUUGUGAUAAGUUGGCAGCAGAGGAAGUGAUAUGGGAAAGAGGGAGAGUUAAAAUGAUAUAGAAGGAAGUAGUAUUAAAAGAUUUAUAAUUUUUGGAUAUCGAGGUGGAAUUGGUUUCAAACAUAGCUAAAUAGUGAAAAAGGAUCCACAUAGCUAAUCUCAACUAGUUUGGGAUUAAGGUAUUGUAGUAGUAGCUGUAGUUGUUUCAUUGUCAAUUUUUUCCCCCACAUAAGUUUCAAUAUUGUGUGUACUUAUUUCCUUUUUCAACAAUUGCAUGCUCUCUUUCCCCCCUUCUAUUUAUAGCUACUAAACCCACUUAACAGGGUCUUAUUCUGAUUCUGCUUGGGUUUGGCUUAAGAGGGGUUUGCUUUCCUAGACAUGAAUUUAGCUGUGUUUUCU